Molecule: long non-coding RNA, 490 nt
Organism: Sinocyclocheilus anshuiensis
Lineage: Eukaryota; Metazoa; Chordata; Actinopteri; Cypriniformes; Cyprinidae
Exons: 4
Source: RefSeq, a predicted model, not a curated record
UUUCUCUGUCUGUUUUUGUGCUCUUCUUCCGCUCUGAGCUGGGGUCAUGUCUUCUCUCUCUCUCUGUCUCUCUCUGUCUGUCUGUGUGCUCUUCUUCCGCUCUGAGCUGGGGUCAUGUCUUCUCUCUCUCUCUGUCUCUCUCUGUCUUUGUACUCUUCCUCCGCUCUGAGCUGGGGUCAGUGUCUCCUCUCUCUCUCUCUCUCAGUCUCUGUCUGUCUGUCUGUCUGUGUGCUCUUCUUCUGCUCUGAGCUGGGGUCAUGUCUUCUCUCUCUCUCUGUCUGUCUGUCUGUGUGCUCUUCUUCCGCUCUGAGCUGGGGUCAGUGUCUUCUCUCUCUCUCUCUCUCUCUCUCUGUCUCUCUCUGUCUGUGUGCUCUUCUCUCUCUCUCUGUCUGUCUGUCUGUCUGUCUGUGUGCUCUUCUUCCGCUCUGAGCUGGGGUCAGUGUCUUCUCUCUCUCUCUGUCUCUCUCUGUCUGUGUGCUCUUCUUCUGCC